Long non-coding RNA from Homo sapiens (human), 2567 nucleotides. Ensembl annotates it as long intergenic non-protein coding RNA 924. The record is from Ensembl. Lineage: Eukaryota; Metazoa; Chordata; Mammalia; Primates; Hominidae.
GGUACGAUGGCCCUGCCUUGUGUCACUAUUUUAUUCGGCAGUUCCAGCCUGGUUCUGUCACAUUGUCUCAUCACAAAAUUGGAUUGCACAGAACUCAAAUGGAGAGGACGUUCAAACUCAGGAAUGUGGAGCACUCAUCAUCUGCUGUGGUCAAAGAGACAAUCUGUGAAGAAAGUGAACAAGGCAGAUGGAGAUAAAUUCAAAAACAGAGAUCCGAAAGGCUGCUAAGAGAGAAAGGAACAGGAAUCUCCCAGUUCCUGAGAGCCUCCCAGGCUUUCUCCCUCGAUGUUUGGAGUUUUAUGCCUAUGUAAUCAGUGCAGACAGCCGUUAAGUAAAUGAAGAGGCAACUAACAAUGUCAGAAAAGAGACCGGGCGGUUCCGGCUGACACUACCCUAAUCUUCCAGGACCCAUUAAAUGGUAGUUUCAACGCAUUACCUACCAUAACAUCCUUGAAUAUCACUGAUUUUAUUUGCAGUAUCAAACAUUCCAUUUCAUGCCCCAUUAACAGUGGGAGCCUGGGCUUUUUGACGCAGCUAAACAUUUUACUAACUACCUGGACUAAGUAACCAAUUAACUUUUGGAGACAAUACGGCCAAUUAAGCGCGAAAAGAAAAUUUGGAAAACAGGCUUUUCCUAUCCGGAUGAACAGAGAUAAUUUGUGUCGAUGGAUGUUCUGUGAAGGCCUAUUGUGUCGAGCAGCGUAUUAAAACAUAAACAUGGCUCUUCCCCCAAGAAACUUACAUUUCAGUAAGGGAGCCUGGCCAAAAUGGAAAACUGCAAGGUUCAAAUCCUGGAGUGCAGAAGAAGCAUUAGGCAUUGACCCUGUGGCUUCCUAAUAGAUCCGCAAAGUGCUUUGUUCCUGGAAAUCAUCCGAUGAGUAGUUCAGUGCUAUUGUAUAUCUUGUUAGAGCAGCCGAAGUGCCACAAAAUGAACUAAAAUCUCCCUGCAGAGUUGCUGUAUCAUAUGCUGAGAACAUUCGGAACUUUCAACAAAUUCAUGUUACGAUCCUGGGUAGCCAUGGUUAAAUCUGUACAGGGGUUAAAUGAGAAAUAUGAGCCUGCUGUUAAGUGUCUUCUGAGAGUGACAAAGCUCUGGCCAUAAGGGAUGGGAGAGGAGGGAUUUCUUCUCAGCCUUCCAGCCCUUUCCAGCUGUAUCACAGACAGGAGACAUAAUGCAAAGGGGCUCAGACAUUGACUUCCUGGAUCUUUGCGGCCCCAGGCAUUGACCCCCUCUACCUGGCUUUUCCUACGCUGUAAAAUGAGGAUCCUCCUAUAUUAUGGAGUUUAUUGUGACAACUAAAUAGCUGAGAAGAAGGACAUCUCAUUUGUUUUAACUAUGCAGUUUCCUGUCUAUCUAUCUAUCUAUCCCAUCAAUCUAUCAAUCAAUCUAUCAAUCUGUCUAUCCCUAUCUAUCUAUCCAUCUAUCUAUCUAUAUCUGUCUAUAUCUAUCUAACAUUUAUCUAUCAUCUAUUCAUCUAUCAGCUAUCUUCUGUCUAUCAAUAUUUCAAUCAAUCUCUCUAUCCCUAUCAAUUAAUCUAUCUACCUACCUAUCAACUAUCCAUCUAUCUCUAUCAUCUAUCAUCUAUUCAUCUAUCAUUUAUCAUCUGUCAAUCCAUCUUCCUACUAUCUAUCAAAAGCAACACAUUUUCUUCCUGACUUUAAAAAUAUUUAAGUGGGCCGGGAGGAUGGCUCACGCCUGUAAUCCCAGCACUUUGGGAGGCCUAGGCGGGCGGAUCACGAGGUCAGGAGAUGGAGACCAUCCUGGCUAACAUGGUGAAACCCCGUCUCUACUAAAAAUACAAAAAAAAAAAAAAAUUAACCAGGCGUGGUGGAGGGCGCCUGUAGUCCCAGCUACUCGGGAGACUGAGGCAGGAGAAUGGGGAGAACCCGGGAGGCGGAGCUUGCAGUGAGCCGAGAUCAUGCCACUGCACUCCAGCCUGGGCGACAGAGCAAGACUCCAUCUCAAAAGAAACAAAAACAAAAACGUAAGUGAUACUCUGUCCACUCUUUUGAUUGAGGAGGUCUGAUUUUCAGGCUUUGGAUUUUAUUAUGUCUUCAAUAUAAUAAUUGUUCCAUGUAUCUCUCCUAAAUUGCCAUUUGAAAAACUGCUUUUCUGAAGUUUAAAGUGCACAUUUUGAUACAUCUUGACACAUAUAUACACCCAUGAAAUCAUCACCACAAUCAGGAUAGUAGAUCUAUCCAUUACCGCCAAGGUUUACUUGCACUCCUUUGAACUUUCUCCCCACUCCUCACCCCCUGCCUAUCCCCAAUCCUUAAGCAAUCACUGAUUUGCUUUCUGUCACUAUCAGUUAAUUUGAAUUUUUCAGAAAUGUAUAUAAAUAAAAUCAUUCGACGUGUAUGCUCUUUUUCUGUUCACCCGGUACAAUUUGAGAUUUAGCCAUGUUUUUGCAUGUGUCAAUAGUUUAUUUUUUUGUUGCUCAGUACUAAUCCAUUUUAUGGAUACAGAGAAAUGUAUUAAUGCAAUCCCAUAUUAAUAGGCAUUUGGGUUGUUUCCAGGUUUGGGCUGUUACAAAUAAAGCUGCUAUGAACAUUUUUGUGCAAGUCUU